GUAGUCCUGGCUGUAAACGAUGCCCACUAGGUGUGGGGGAGUAUUUCCUCCGUGCUGUAGCUAACGCGUUAAGUGGGCCGCCUGGGGAGUACGCCCGCAAGGGUGAAACUCAAAGGAAUUGGCGGGACCCCGCACAAGCGGUGGAGCGCGUGGUUUAAUUGGAUGCUGAGCCAAGAACCUUACCAGGGCUUGACAUGCAGGUGGUACCGACCCGAAAGGGGAGGGACCCCAUCCUUUUGGGUGGGGAGCCUGCACAGGUGGUGCACGGCCGUCGUCAGCUCGUGCCGUGAGGUGUUGGGUUAAGUCCCGCAACGAGCGCAACCCCUGCCCUUAGUUGCCAUCGGUUCGGCCGGGCACUCUAAGGGGACUGCCGGCGACGAGCCGGAGGAAGGAGGGGACGACGUCAGGUACUCGUGCCCUUUAUGCCCUGGGCUACACACGCGCUACAAUGGGUGGUACAGUGGGUUGCGACCCCGCGAGGGGGAGCCAAUCCCUAAAACCACCCCCAGUUCGGAUCGCAGGCUGCAACCCGCCUGCGUGAAGCCGGAAUCGCUAGUAAUCGCGGAUCAGCCACGCCGCGGUGAAUACGUUCCCGGGGUUUGCACACACCGCCCGUCAAGCCACCCGAGCCGGGGGCACCCGAAGACGCCCAUCCUAACCCGAAAGGGAGGGAGGGCGUUGAGGGUGAAUCUGGUGAGGGGGGCUAAGUCGUAACAAGGUAGCCGUACUGGAAGGUGCGGCUGGAUCACCUCC
Molecule: ribosomal RNA, 753 nt
Filed under: uncultured bacterium
Lineage: Bacteria
Description: bacterial SSU rRNA
Rfam family: Bacterial small subunit ribosomal RNA
Source: RNAcentral